Molecule: ribosomal RNA, 497 nt
Filed under: uncultured bacterium
Lineage: Bacteria
Description: partial 16S ribosomal RNA
Rfam family: Bacterial small subunit ribosomal RNA
Source: RNAcentral
GAUGAACGCUGGCGGCGUGCCUAAUACAUGCAAGUCGAGCGAACAGACGAGGAGCUUGCUCCUCUGACGUUAGCGGCGGACGGGUGAGUAACACGUGGAUAACCUACCUAUAAUACUGGGAUAACUUCGUGAAACCGGAGCUAAUACCGGAUAAUAUAUUGAACCGCAUGGUUCAAUAGUGAAAGACGGUUUUGCUGUUACUUAUAGAUGGAUCCGCGCCGGAUUAGCUAGUUGGUAAGGUAAAGGCUUACCAAGGCAACGAUGCGUAGCCGACCUGAGAGGAUGAUCGGCCACACUGGAACUGAGACACGGUCCAGACUCCUACGGGAGGCAGCAGUGGGGAAUAUUGGACAAUGGGCGAAAGCCUGAUGCAGCAAUGCCGCGUGAGUGAAGAAGGUCUUCGGGUUGUAAAGCCCUUUUAUUGGGAAAGAAAAGAAGUGGAUUAAAACAUCGAUGUUCUGACGGUACCUAAAGAAAAAGCACCGGCUAACUUCGUG